RNAcentral lists this long non-coding RNA (842 nucleotides) under Phasianus colchicus (ring-necked pheasant). RNAcentral describes it as "lncRNA (ENSPCLG00000009811.1)". The record is from RNAcentral. Lineage: Eukaryota; Metazoa; Chordata; Aves; Galliformes; Phasianidae.
UUCUGCUUGUUUUGCUCUUGCUGUAGAGCUACAAGUUCCCUUUGCUCCCCAGCACUGCCAGUACUUUCACAAAGUUUAGUUUUGUGUAUCAUCAAAGGGUAUUUCUUGGAACAGGAGAACUUAGCUAGAAGACAGCGUACAUUACAGGGGAGAAUGGAGUUUUAGGAAGAAUUCACUUGGCUUUUUCAAAUUCCAGGAAGAACCUGACACUGCAGAACAAACAGUUUGCAAGAAGGAAAUGUUUCAUGUAGACAUUGAAGAAUAACUUUGUGACCCUAUGGGUUAUCUUUCCGAGCAGCCAGACAGACAUGCGAGAUGAUGACAGAGAGACUUUCAGUCUCCGUGCCCACGUGAUGCUUGGAAGGUAUACAUUAUCUCUUGUUUAAAUGAGUUUUCUCUCUUUUUAGCACUAGCACUACGGGGUAUUUUCCACUGUUUUACCUCUUGAGCCAUCGUUCUGCUGCAUGGUGUUAAUUUCACUCCAGGCUCUAUUGGAAAGUGAUUACGUGAGAGGGAUUUGGUUACACUGGGCUUCAGCAGAGGCAAUACCAGAUGUUCAAGAAAUGUUUUCAACAUAACAUCUGAGUAUUUCUUUAACAAUUGUUUACCAGCCCCCAUGGCUAAUGCUUUGAGUUGGCUGAUCUUAUUCUGUAGCCUUAGGAUCUUCCUGACAGGGACCUCUUCCCCCUCACCAGAGAGCAAUGUAGACUGCCAGACCCAGUGUCUCAUAGACUGCAAGCAGGGACAUUACUACACAGCUGGCAACUGCUUGGAAUGUCCUACAGGCUUCUAGUAAGUCUCCUUCCUUCCCUCUCUCUCAGAGCUUCUGCAAUAAGCAAGUU